ACAGCCUGGGCUUACGAACAAAUUUCAAGAAGAGUGUUUUAACUCCCUCUCAACGGAUAACUUUUCUGGGAAUAGAUCUGGACUCUCGCGCGCUCAGUUGAUUGCGUCAUGUGUGCGGCACUUCAAAGCGGGUCGCACGGUGACAGUGAGAUUGUGCCUCAGGCUCUUGGGUCUAAUGGCAGCAGCAUCCCCCGUGAUUCGUCUGGGAUUGCUUCAAAUGCGCCCUUUUCAGUGGUGGACGAAAAGGCGGAAUAUUUCACCCCGUUGUCUCCCGCAUCGCACGAUUUCGGUGACACGGCGGUGUGUGAUGUCGCUAAAAAUUUGGAUGUCAACCGAAUUUCUCCUGUCAGGAGUUCGACUGGGAAUUUAUGCUUUCCGAGAGACUGUCACGACGGACGCGUCUUUGACUGGUUGGGGAGCUGUGUGUCGAGGGCGACCAGCCCACGGAGUGUGGACAGCGGCUCAGCGCGGCUGGCAUUUAAACAGACUGGAAUUACUGGCAGUUUUUCUGGCUCUCCAGUAUUUCGCGGAUCUGCUGAUCGGCCGUCAUGUGCUGCUCAGAUCAGACAACACAGCGGUUGUGUCUUAUCUGAACCAUCAAGGAGGAUUGCGCUCUCGCCCCCUGUGCAGGCUGGCGAGGCGUGUUCUUCUGUGGUCUCGGGACAAGUUUCUUUUGAUCCGGGCCAUUCAUGUCCCCGGACGAUUGAAUUUCGGAGCGGACCUGCUAUCCAGACAGGCUCUGGAACAGGGAGAAUGGCGAUUACACCCCCAGACGGUGGAUCUUUUAUGGCGGAUAUUCGGCAAAGCGAAAGUGGAUUUAUUCGCGUCGAGCAUGACUACGCAUUGCCCGCUAUGGUUCUCCCUACGCUCCCCAUCGCCCCUGGGCGUGGAUGCGUUAGCUCACAGCUGGCCCAGGACCAGUCUGUAUGCUUUUCCUCCGAUUCAUUUGAUCCCAGCGGUAUUAUGCAGAUUACGCCGGGACAGAGUGGAACAGCUGCUGCUGGUGGCUCCGCGAUGGCACACGCAGCCGUGGUUUGCGGAUCUGAUCAGUCUGCUAGCGGGCUCUCCGUGGGAGAUUCCCCUCAGACAGGAUUUAUUAUCACAAGCACAGGGGCUGAUUUGGCACCCGAGGCCAGAUCUGUGGAAACUGUGGGCGUGGCCAUUGAGCGGAGUGCAUUAGUAUGUCCCGGUCUUUCUGUUGAAACUACUGAGACUAUAUUGAGUUCUAGAGCAGCUUCUACGAGACGCUUAUAUGCUUUCAAGUGGAGACUGUUUACAGCCUGGUGUGGCAAUCAUAAUGUGGAUCCAGUUUACUGCCCAGUGGCUUCAGUGCUGGAGUUCCUCCAGGAGCGUUUCUCGGAUGGCGUUACACCAGCCACUUUAAAGGUUUACGUGGCAGCCAUUUCAGCUUACCACGAAUACAUAGGCGGUGCCUCUGUGGGGCGUCAUCCAUUAGUUUCUCGUUUCAUACAGGUUGCGCGACGGCUGAGGCCUUUCCGCCCUGUGCGAGUUCCUUCAUGGGAUUUAUCCAUUGUGUUGUUAGGUUUAUCAGGGCAUCCGUUUGAGCCCUUGGAGACCGUAUCAGAUAAAUUCCUGACACUGAAGACACUUCUUCUCAUGGCUUUAUCCUCCCUCAAGAGAGUUGGGGAUUUACAGGCUCUUUCUGUUUCACCUUCAUGCAUGGAAU
This is a long non-coding RNA of Carassius auratus (goldfish), 1687 nucleotides long. The record is from Ensembl. NCBI's taxonomy places the organism in Eukaryota, Metazoa, Chordata, Actinopteri, Cypriniformes, Cyprinidae.